CUACGUGCCAGCAGCCGCGGUAAUACGGAAGGUUCGGGCGUUAUCCGGAUUUAUUGGGUUUAAAGGGAGCGUAGGCCGGAGAUUAAGUGUGUUGUGAAAUGUAGACGCUCAACGUCUGACUUGCAGCGCAUACUGGUUUCCUUGAGUACGCACAACGUUGGCGGAAUUCGUCGUGUAGCGGUGAAAUGCUUAGAUAUGACGAAGAACUCCGAUUGCGAAGGCAGCUGACGGGAGCGCAACUGACGCUGAAGCUCGAAGGUGCGGGUAUCGAACAGGAUUAGAUACCCUGGUAGUCCGCACAGUAAACGAUGGAUGCCCGCUGUUGGUACCUAGUAUCAGCGGCUAAGCGAAAGCAUUAAGCAUCCCACCUGGGGAGUACGUCGGCAACGGUGAAACUCAAAUGAAUUGACGGGGGCCCGCACAAGCGGUGGAGCAUGUGGUUUAAUUCGAUGCAACGCGAAGAACCUUACCUACUCUUGACAUCCAUGGAAUCUUGUAGAGAUACGAGAGUGC
RNAcentral lists this ribosomal RNA (513 nucleotides) under uncultured bacterium. Its description in RNAcentral is "bacterial SSU rRNA". It matches the Rfam family "Bacterial small subunit ribosomal RNA", at positions 501 to 1017 of the family's 1533-position model. The record is from RNAcentral.